AUGGAGACACUUGAGAUUGAAGGAGAGUCAGGCAUGCAGUCAAUGGCACCGCUCAGUAAUUUGAAAUCCCUAAGAAGACUAGAUGUCAGAAGAUGCAGCAUCAGGUGCCAUGGACUGCAGGACCUCGCGUGCCUCCAAUCACUUACAGUAAAAGAAUGUGGCAACUUCUUUCUGCGGCCCAUCGAAGCAGCUCACACCAUCAUUACAGAUGUAUCACACAUUUCAAUGACAGAGCUGACCAAUCUGAAAUCCCUAAGAAGACUAGAUGUCAGAAGAUGCAGCUUCACGUGCCAUGGACUCCAGGACCUCUCGUGCCUCCAAUAUCUUACAGUAUACAACUGUGGCAACUUCUUUCCAUGGCAUACCGAAGCAGCUCACACCAUCAAGCUUUUCCCUGCUUCCCUGGAGACACUUGAGAUUGAAGGAGAGUCAGGCAUGCAGUCAAUGGCACCGCUCAGCAAUCUGAAAUCCCUAAGAAGACUAGAUGUCAGAAGAUGCAGCAUCAGGUGCCAUGGACUGCAGGACCUCGCGUGCCUCCAAUCACUUACAGUAAAAGAAUGUGGCAACUUCUUUCUGCGGCCCAUCGAAGCAGCUCACACCAUCAUCAAUCCUUUGCCUUCUUCCCUCGAGGAACUUGAGAUUGAUGGAGAGUCAAGCAUGGAGUCAAUGGCUCUGCUCUCGAACCUCACUUGUCUCACCGAUCUUGUACUGGUGAACUCUGAGAAUUUAACAGUGGAUGGUUUUAAUCCUCCCAUCACAGUCAACCUCAACAGUUUGAAGAUGUACAACAGAGGAAAUUGUCUUAACCGUUCUAUAUCAGCGGAUUUGUUCUCGGAAUUGGUGGUAGCAAGGACCAACCUGUUAUCGCCUGCAGACAACUGUCAACUACGAGAACUUACAGUGGAUUGCAUCUCAGCAGUGCUUGUGGCUCCCAUCUGUAGCCUCCUUGCCGCUACCCUCCACACUUUAGAAUUCUGGUAUGAUCACCGGGCAGAAAGCUUCACGGAAGAGGAAGAGAGAGCUCUUCAGCUCCUCACCUCACUCCGUUUCAUCAAUUUUAUGGAUUGCCCUAAUCUGUUGUGCCUUCCUCAAGGCCUACACAGCCUUCCUUCUCUUAAGACACUAUUUGUCCAAGAUUGUCCUAAAAUCCAAUCUCUGCACAAGGGGGACUUUCCCACUUCACUGGAGUGUCUAUUAGUGCAGGGUUGCAGUCCCGGGCUACAAGAGCAAGCCAAGCAAUUAAAAGGAACAAAACCAGAUUUUAAUGUGAUACUUGAACUUGAGUAG
RNAcentral lists this ribosomal RNA (1287 nucleotides) under Triticum aestivum (bread wheat). RNAcentral describes it as "partial small subunit ribosomal RNA". The record is from RNAcentral. Lineage: Eukaryota; Viridiplantae; Streptophyta; Magnoliopsida; Poales; Poaceae.